Molecule: transfer RNA, 75 nt
Filed under: Candidatus Woesearchaeota archaeon
Lineage: Archaea; Nanobdellati; Candidatus Woesearchaeota
Also listed under: 1 other name
Description: tRNA-Met
Rfam family: tRNA
About the family: Transfer RNA (tRNA) molecules are approximately 80 nucleotides in length.
Source: RNAcentral
GCCGGUGUAGCUCAGCCCGGUUAGAGCGCCACGCUCAUAACGUGGUUGUCGAGGGUUCAAAUCCCUCCACCGGCA